Molecule: long non-coding RNA, 554 nt
Organism: Medicago truncatula (barrel medic)
Lineage: Eukaryota; Viridiplantae; Streptophyta; Magnoliopsida; Fabales; Fabaceae
Exons: 3
Source: RefSeq, a predicted model, not a curated record
AGAAUUUUCACGAUAUAAAGUGAUAAAAACAAUUUAUAUUUCUUAAACGUAAAGGUAAAAAAAUGGCUGAGAUUUUCAAGGUUUUCUAUACACUGAUAAUUUUUGCUUCCCUAUAUUAUGUUGUAGCUUUAGUGCAAAACGAAUGUGUUACUGAUGGCGAUUGUCGUAGAUUAUAUCCCCAUUUAAUUCCUCGAUAUCCGAUGUGCAAUGAAGGUACUUGUGUGUGUAUUUUUGAAUAAAGGAUAUCCCCAAGAUAUGAAUAAACAACAAUACAAGGUUUUUGCUUAUGGGAAUAAAGUGUAGAACUAUUCUCUCACAUAUGCUAUGAUGUUCUUGAAAGUUAGUUUGAAUAUUGUUUUUGUUUAAAUUAUGUUGGAAGGAUCUAUAAUUGUGGUAGCAGGGUCGGGUUUAAUAAUCUGGUCUUGACAUUUUUUUUGGGUCCUUAAAAUAAUAUUAUGUAGACUAUUUUACUAUGAGGAUAAUUGUAAAUCUUUAAGAAGCAAAAAUAUUGUACCUCAAAUUAUGAUAUUCAGUUGUUAUUUUCCACGAUCUAA